Molecule: ribosomal RNA, 427 nt
Filed under: uncultured bacterium
Lineage: Bacteria
Description: bacterial SSU rRNA
Rfam family: Bacterial small subunit ribosomal RNA
Source: RNAcentral
UAGGGAAUCUUCGGCAAUGGACGAAAGUCUGACCGAGCAACGCCGCGUGAGUGAAGAAGGUUUUCGGAUCGUAAAACUCUGUUGUUAGAGAAGAACAAGUGGGAGAGUAACUGUUCCCACCUUGACGGUAUCUAACCAGAAAGCCACGGCUAACUACGUGCCAGCAGCCGCGGUAAUACGUAGGUGGCAAGCGUUGUCCGGAUUUAUUGGGCGUAAAGCGAGCGCAGGCGGUCUUUUAAGUCUGAUGUGAAAGCCCUCGGCUCAACCGAGGAAGGUCAUUGGAAACUGGAGGACUUGAGUGCAGAAGAGGAGAGUGGAAUUCCAUGUGUAGCGGUGAAAUGCGUAGAUAUAUGGAGGAACACCAGUGGCGAAGGCGACUCUCUGGUCUGUAACUGACGCUGAGGCUCGAAAGCGUGGGGAGCAAACA